Molecule: long non-coding RNA, 229 nt
Filed under: Oryza brachyantha (malo sina)
Lineage: Eukaryota; Viridiplantae; Streptophyta; Magnoliopsida; Poales; Poaceae
Description: long non-coding RNA (OBRA_LNC003107)
Source: RNAcentral
AUAUACUCUCCCUAAUGAGAUGGAUGGGCAUCGAGUAGAUCUUAAACAUUCUCAAUGGACAAUUUAUCAGUAAAGAAUGAGGGGCAUGGGGAAACUCACUGAAAAGGCAGGCGGAAAAACCUAAGUUUAGGUGGUGUUUAGAUUGAGAAAAUUUUUGAGAAGUGUCACGUCAAAUGUUUAACCGGAUGUCGGAAGGGGUUUUCGGACACAAAUGAAAAAACGAAUUUCA